UCCCGGUUGGCCCGGGCGGUCCCGUGUGAAAAAUCCAACACACGGCAAGGGUUGCGCUCGUUGCGGGACUUAACCCAACAUCUCACGACACGAGCUGACGACGGCCAUGCAACACCUGUCACUAGAUUCCCGAAGGCACUCCGCUAUCUCUAGCAGAUUCCUAGGAUGUCAAGGGUCGGUAAGGUUCUUCGCGUAUCGUCGAAUUAAACCACAUGCUCCACCGCUUGUGCGGGUCCCCGUCAAUUCCUUUGAGUUUUAAGCUUGCGCUCGUACUCCCCAGGCGGCAGGCUUAACGCGUUAGCUUCUCAGCCCAGAGGGUCGAUACUCCAAACUAAUAGCCUGCAUCGUUUACGGCGUGGACUAC
Molecule: unclassified non-coding RNA, 364 nt
Filed under: uncultured bacterium
Lineage: Bacteria
Description: contains 16S-23S intergenic spacer region
Source: RNAcentral